This 264-nucleotide ribosomal RNA is filed under the name uncultured bacterium. RNAcentral's name for it is "partial 16S ribosomal RNA". It matches the Rfam family "Bacterial small subunit ribosomal RNA", at positions 1237 to 1500 of the family's 1533-position model. The record is from RNAcentral.
CAACAGAGGGAGGCAAAGCCGCGAGGCAGAGCAAACCCCUAAAAAGCCAUCCCAGUUCGGAUUGCAGGCUGCAACCCGCCUGUAUGAAGUUGGAAUCGCUAGUAAUCGCGGAUCAGCACGCCGCGGUGAAUACGUUCCCGGGCCUUGUACACACCGCCCGUCACACCACGGAAGUUGGGAGUACCCAAAGUAGGUUACCUAACCGCAAGGAGGGCGCUUCCUAAGGUAAGACCGAUGACUGGGGUGAAGUCGUAACAAGGUAAC